CCUACGGGUGGCGGCAGUGGGGAAUAUUGCACAAUGGGGGAAACCCUGACGCAGCGACGCCGCGUGAGUGAAGGAGGAAUUCGGUAUGUAAAGCUCUAUUAGCAGGGAAGAAAAUGACGGUACCUGAGUAAGAAGCCCCGGCUAACUACGUGCCAGCAGCCGCGGUAAUACGGAGGGGGCCAGCGGUAUCCGGAGUUUCGGGGGUUAAAGGGAGCCGAGGCGGUAGUGCCAGUGUGGCGGGAAAGGCGGGGGGGUCAACCCCGGACCGCCCUUGAAACUGGACGGCUGGGGUGCACGAGAGGUAUGUGGAAUUCCUGGUGUAGCGGUGAAAUGCGUAGAUAUUACGAAGAACCCCGAUUGCGAAGGCAGCAUACUGGACUCUAACUGACGUUGAGGCUCGAAAGCGUGGGGAGCGAACAGGAUUAGAUACCCUUGUAGUC
This 440-nucleotide ribosomal RNA is filed under the name uncultured bacterium. RNAcentral's name for it is "partial 16S ribosomal RNA". It matches the Rfam family "Bacterial small subunit ribosomal RNA", at positions 338 to 795 of the family's 1533-position model. The record is from RNAcentral.